Molecule: ribosomal RNA, 481 nt
Filed under: uncultured bacterium
Lineage: Bacteria
Description: partial 16S ribosomal RNA
Rfam family: Bacterial small subunit ribosomal RNA
Source: RNAcentral
GACGAACGCUGGCGGCGUGCCUAACACAUGCAAGUCGAACGGAACUGUUUUGAAAGAUUUCUUCGGACUGGAUUUGAUCUGGUUUAGUGGCGGACGGGUGAGUAACGCGUGAGUAACCUGCCUUCAAGAGGGGAAUAACAUUCUGAAAAGAAUGCUAAUACCGCAUGACAUAUCGGUACCACAUGGUUUUGAUAUCAAAGAUUUUAUCGCUUGAAGAUGGACUCGCGUCCGAUUAGUUAGGUGGUGAGGUAACGGCAUACCAAGGCCGCGAUCGGUAGCCGGGCUGAUAGGCUGACCGGCUACGUUGGGACUGAGGCACGGACCAGACUCGUACGGAGGGGAGCAGUGGGGGAUAUUGCGCAAGGGGGGCAACCCUGACGCAGCAGCGCGGCGGGAAGGAUGAAGGUUUUCGGAUUGUAAACUUCUUUUAUAAAGGGCGAAAAAGGACGGAACGUAAUGAAUAAGCCCCGGCAAACUACGU